Molecule: non-coding RNA, 100 nt
Organism: Elasticomyces elasticus
Lineage: Eukaryota; Fungi; Ascomycota; Dothideomycetes; Mycosphaerellales; Teratosphaeriaceae
Source: the annotation of a GenBank genome assembly
AGCCCGCUAGCUCAGUGGUAGAGCGCCUGAUUCAAUGUCACAUUGACGCUCGUUAUAAUGAGUCCUCAGGAGGUCGUCGGUUCGAACCCGAUGCGGGCUA